Molecule: transfer RNA, 84 nt
Filed under: Candidatus Woesearchaeota archaeon
Lineage: Archaea; Nanobdellati; Candidatus Woesearchaeota
Description: tRNA-Leu
Rfam family: tRNA
About the family: Transfer RNA (tRNA) molecules are approximately 80 nucleotides in length. Their secondary structure includes four short double-helical elements and three loops (D, anti-codon, and T loops).
Source: RNAcentral
GCGGGAGUGCCGGAGUGGUCAAACGGGCUAGGAUGAGGUCCUAGUGGCUUUAUGUCUACGCAGGUUCGAACCCUGUCUCCCGCA